GCAUUGUUUGUUCGGCUUCGUAUCGUUGCUCCCCGUCGACACGUACGACAGGCAAUCCGACAUGUUCAGCAGCGUCGUAAAGCAAUCCACUCCCCCGGCCGGUCCCGGCGCCGGAGCCUGUGCUGCAAUGCCGUGAAUAGCGAGUAUCGCCACUGCGAAAGCGAAGAUCGAGGCCGCCGCCGCCGCCAUUGGUCGCGAUCUGAAGUGAAAGAGAUCGGAAGUGUUCG
Molecule: unclassified non-coding RNA, 227 nt
Filed under: Hevea brasiliensis (rubber tree)
Lineage: Eukaryota; Viridiplantae; Streptophyta; Magnoliopsida; Malpighiales; Euphorbiaceae
Source: RNAcentral